CUUAUCAUAUAGUGAGACCUUCAAGGAACCUAACUGUAUCUUCUGCAAAAAGAUCUAUCAGUUAUGGAGAUUGAGCCAAAUUGAUGACAUGACAGGAGACAAAGACUUAGAUGUUCAAGAAUGAUUUUUGAUUAUUUCCUGUAUCUUGGAAGCAUCGUCAGAAUUAGCGAGACCCUUACUUGAAUUCUCUGGUUCUGUUUGCUCUGAUUCUGUAAUUAUUUCGGAACAUUGGCCAUGUCUGUGUUGGGAAGACAGUAAUGCUUAUUCGCAAGUGUUGCCUCCCACCCCACUGUAGCAGGGCCCUCUACAUCUGCAGGGCAGACUUAAGCAAACAAUAAGCAUAGAAUGGGGCAGCUCAGUAGCUCAAUCAGUAGCACUGCUGCUUCACUGUGCCAGGGACCGAUUCCACCCUCCGUCGACUGUGAGGAAUCUGCACAUUCUCCCCGUGUCUGCAUGGGUUUCCGCACAGUGCUCCAGUUGCCCCCCACAGU
This is a long non-coding RNA of Stegostoma tigrinum, 491 nucleotides long. RefSeq lists it as uncharacterized. The transcript is spliced from 3 exons. The record is from RefSeq and is a predicted model, not a curated record. Lineage: Eukaryota; Metazoa; Chordata; Chondrichthyes; Orectolobiformes; Stegostomatidae.